Molecule: ribosomal RNA, 447 nt
Filed under: uncultured bacterium
Lineage: Bacteria
Description: bacterial SSU rRNA
Rfam family: Bacterial small subunit ribosomal RNA
Source: RNAcentral
GCCAGACUCCUACGGGAGGCAGCAGUGGGGAAUAUUGCACAAUGGGGGAAACCCUGAUGCAGCGACGCCGCGUGAGUGAAGAAGUAUUUCGGUAUGUAAAGCUCUAUCAGCAGGGAAGAAAAUGACGGUACCUGAUUAAGAAACCCCGGCUAACUACGUGCCAGCAGCCGCGGUAAUACGUAGGGGGCAAGCGUUAUCCGGAUUUACUGGGUGUAAAGGGAGCGUAGACGGUGAUGCAAGUCAGAAGUGAAAGCCCGGGGCUCAACUCCGGGACUGCUUUUGAAACUGUGUGACUGGAGUGCAGGAGAGGUAAGCGGAAUUCCUGGUGUAGCGGUGAAAUGCGUAGAUAUCAGGAGGAACACCAGUGGCGAAGGCGGCUUACUGGACUGUAACUGACGUUGAGGCUCGAAAGCGUGGGGAGCAAACAGGAUUAGAUACCCGCGUAUC